Molecule: ribosomal RNA, 136 nt
Filed under: Prolemur simus (greater bamboo lemur)
Lineage: Eukaryota; Metazoa; Chordata; Mammalia; Primates; Lemuridae
Source: RNAcentral
CUCUACAGCCAUAUCACCCUGAACGUGCCCAAUCUCAUCUGAUCUUGGAAGCUAAGCAGGGCCAGGCCUGGUUAGUACUUGGAUGGGAGAGUGACUGUGGCUAUGACCCCAAGUAGAACGGUCAGACCCAGAGGGA